Molecule: long non-coding RNA, 1023 nt
Organism: Carassius carassius (crucian carp)
Lineage: Eukaryota; Metazoa; Chordata; Actinopteri; Cypriniformes; Cyprinidae
Exons: 4
Source: RefSeq, a predicted model, not a curated record
GAAUUUAAUAGCCACGAUAGAGAAAGUGAAUCUUUGCUGAAUUAUAUAUUCCAGGUGUCCAGAAAGAGACAACAUUGUCAAGUUUUGAUGUUAGCACGAAAUUAGUUUCUCAUACAGCUGUUGCGUCUUCCACGCCCCUCAAGACUUCAUCAAAGAGACCUUGUCUGGACCUUGAGGAAGAUGAAGAUAUCCUACAGGAAUGCUCUUCAAUACUAACAGCACAAGAGACUGAUGUCACAUUUAAUCCUGCAGAGGCAGACACAUCAAUAACAGCCAAAAGACUUGUCAUAAGUUUAUAUUAUAUUUUAGAAUAAUGUUUGUUUUAAUUAUAGCAUAUCUAAUUUUUAUGUAGUGCUUAUGUAAAUUGAUGUUUUUUUUUUUUUUUAUUCAGAGCUCAAGAAUCCAGCCCUAUUCCAAAAAUGUGUAAAUAUAUUGUCUCUGAGACCUGCAUCAUGGAACUGUUUGAGCUGUGCCCGGUAUGUCAUAGAAGCUGUCAUAUAAGAUCACAAAGGAUUGAACAUUUCUUCGUGUUGAACAACUCUGCCACCAUUGUCAGUUCUCACGGAAAUGGAACAGUCAGCCGAUUUUGGGCAGUACUCCAGCUGGAAACCUUCACCUUUCUGCUGCUGUGUAUCUCAGUGGUGCUUCAUUUUUCACAAUUGAAAAGAUAUUUGCAGCUAUGAAGUUACAUCUUUUCAAGUACGACACCUUUAGUCAUCAUGCACAAAUGUGCAUUGAGCCUGCUGUUGUUUACAAAUGGAGAAACUGGCAGGAUGAGAUGCUACAGCUGUUGGCUCAAAGGGAAAAGGUCAUUGUUGGAGGAGAUAUGAGGGCUGACUCACUAGGGCACUCUACCAAAUAUGGCAGUUACACAAUGAUGGACCUGGAGACAAACACCGUUGUUGAUGUACAACUCGUCCAGAGUAAUUAAGUGGGAGGAAGUUACCACAUGGAAAAGGAAGGUUUGAAGAGAGGUCUUGACUUUUUGGAUGCUCAUGGAGAGCCUCUGGACUGCAUUGUUAC